This 250-nucleotide ribosomal RNA is filed under the name uncultured prokaryote. Its description in RNAcentral is "partial 16S ribosomal RNA". It matches the Rfam family "Bacterial small subunit ribosomal RNA", at positions 524 to 772 of the family's 1533-position model. The record is from RNAcentral.
UACGGAAGGUGUGAGCGUUAUCCGGAUUUACUGGGUUUAAAGGGUGUGUAGGCGGUUGUAUGUGUCGGUGGUGAAAGCCUAGUGCUUAACACUUAGAAUUGCCAUCGAAACUGUACAACUUGAAUAUUGAGGAGGUAAACAGAAUUCGUAGUGUAGCAAUAAAAUGCGUAGAUACUACGAAGAAUACCAACAGCGAAGGCAGUUUAUCAUUCAAUUAUUGACGCUGAGGCAGGAAAGCGUGGGUAGCAAA